Varanus komodoensis (Komodo dragon) is the source of this 84-nucleotide small nucleolar RNA. The record is from Ensembl. NCBI's taxonomy places the organism in Eukaryota, Metazoa, Chordata, Lepidosauria, Squamata, Varanidae.
GGUCAAUGAUGUAACCUGGCAUGUAUUAUCUGACUCUGAAGCUGAAGAUUUACCUCUUUAGCUCUAAAAUUACACUGAGACCUA